UGAGUAACACGUAAGCAACCUGCCUAUCAGAGGGGAACAACAGUUAGAAAUGACUGCUAAUACCGCAUAUGCCUUAAUUACCACAUGGUAGUAGAGGGAAAGGAGUAAUCCGCUGAUAGAUGGGCUUGCGUCUGAUUAGAUAGUUGGUAAGGUAACGGCUUACCAAGUCGACGAUCAGUAGCCGGACUGAGAGGUUGAACGGCCACAUUGGGACUGAGAUACGGCCCAGACUCCUACGGGAGGCAGCAUG
Molecule: ribosomal RNA, 250 nt
Filed under: uncultured bacterium
Lineage: Bacteria
Description: partial 16S ribosomal RNA
Rfam family: Bacterial small subunit ribosomal RNA
Source: RNAcentral